Lycium barbarum (goji berry) is the source of this 2235-nucleotide long non-coding RNA. RefSeq lists it as uncharacterized. The record is from RefSeq and is a predicted model, not a curated record. The transcript is spliced from 3 exons. NCBI's taxonomy places the organism in Eukaryota, Viridiplantae, Streptophyta, Magnoliopsida, Solanales, Solanaceae.
UUGCCUUAGGCAGUCAUUACUUUCUACCUUAGUUUCCCUUUUUUAAGUAUAGCCAGCCUAGAUGUGAUUUCUCUAUGGUCUCUUAAGUCAGUCUCAGAAAUAUUUGUGUUCAUUAACUAUUGAAAGGCUCUGGCCAGUUUUGUAGGCUGCUUAGUGAUGUCUAAACUCUACUUGGAAAAAAAUCAUUUGUCUGGAAUAUAAAACCUUGCUUUUGUACUCCCUUCCGUUAAAGCUUGUAGUGUAAUUGCUUUUACUAUAUACCAGUCAAAAUGUUAUAUUUUCUCCUUUGGGGUUGGAGUUGAGAAUGCAAGCACUCAGUAAGUUACUUAACUGCAUAUUGAGCUGUCGGAUCUAAUUUUGUUACAUAAGAGAAACUAGAAGCAAGUUUUUUAUUUGUGUUACAAGAAGUUGAAGAACAGGCUAAAAAGGAAUCUGUGAAGACUUCUGUACCUGGUGAGGUUCCCGCUGCUCCUGAGGAACCAAAGGAAGAUCAAACACGUAAACCAGCUCCUACUCCCUAGCAAAUUAUAGCAAGGUACAGUAUGUCACUUAUCUGUUACUGGUCUUCUUCGAUGCAUUUUAAGGAUUAGGAUGGUGGAACAGAUUGUUUUCGAUGUGUAUAUAUGGCGAGGAUUUUUGGUGUUAUGACAUAUGGAUAGAAAGAAAGCAACAUAUUGGAUCAUAGAAGCAACAGUACCUUCUGCUGAUAUGGGCUACUUAUUAGAAUCUUGUAAGAAAAGUCAUCAGAGUCCAGCAUAAAAAGAAAGUCAUCAGACUCUUCCUGUGACUUGUGAGUCAAUAUUAACUCUUUUUAUUCUAAAAGGAGCACGCCAUAUCCACUGAAUUUCUUGCCGACAUCAAUGAACCGUUUCCAAAGAGAGGUUAGAAGGAGCUUAUACCUAUUGGCCCUGAUGCAGUAAAAUUUUCUCAUUAUUGGUAAAUUUUGGUCUAAAUAUGGAUUUUCAUGAUUAUGGAACUGUACCUGGUAGCAAUAAGCAUGCUAAAUAACUCUCCUGUCAUGGAUUUGUGAAAAAGGACCACCCCAAAAGUGAAUAGAACGGUCCUUUCCUUUUUGCUAGUUCAUUAAAUGUUUCUUUUUGCAUGUGCAGACUGCCAUUGUGAAAUCCCAAACUCUUGAGGAGGUGGCUAGACUUGAACAGGCAUUGAAGUCUCGCCAGCUUCCUGUAGAUUAGUUAUUGGUGGUUACAAUGUUGCUGUAAAAAAAAAAAAAAAAAAAAGACGCCAAAGAAGACAAAAUGGCAAUAGAUGGCGAUGAUAAAGCUAACAAAGGAGAGGAGGAAAACGUACCCAAACAGAAAACGAAUGGUCCUACAGAUAUGGAGCAGGGAUCAGCUCUUAGCCCAUUUUUAUUUGCUUUGGUGAUGAAUGGUUUGACGCGGUAAAUUCAAGGUGAGGUGCCAUGGUACAUGUUAUUCGCGGAUGACAUAGUACUGAUUGACGAGACCCGCCGAGACCCCCAACGGAGUGAAUGCUAAGCUGGAGGUUUGGAGACAAACUCUGGAGUCUAAAGGAUUCAAGUUGAGUAGGACCAAGAUAGAGUACAUGGAGUGCUAGUUUAAUGACGUGACACAUGAGGCUGGCGUGGAAGUGAGGCUUGGAACCCAAGCUAUCCAAAAGAAAGGGAGUUUCAAGUAUCUUGGGUCUAUUGUGCAAGGAGAGGGGGAUAUUGACGAUGAUGUCACACAUUGUAUUGGCGCAAGGUGGAUGAAAUGGAGGCUCACUUCAGGAGUGCUGUGUGAUAAGAAGGUGCCACCAAAGCUUAAAGGCAAGUUCUAGUGAGGCCGACUUUGUUGUACGGGGUGGAGUGCUGGGCAGUCAAGAACUCGCACGUUCAAAAGAUGAAAGUCGCGGAAAUGAGAAUGUUGCGAUGGAUGUGUGGGUACACUAGGCGAGAUAGGAUUAGGAAUGAAGAUAUCCGAGACAAUGUGGGAGUGGCAUCGGUGGAGGACAAGAUGCGGGAAGUGCGGCUGAGAUGGUUUGGGCAUGUGAAGAAGAGAGACACAGAUGCCCCAGUGUAGAGGUGUCAGAGGUUAGCUAUGGACGGUUUCAAAAGAGGUAGAGGUAGGCCGAAGAAGUAUUGGGGAGAGGUGCUUAGACAGGACAUGGCGCAGUUCUAGCUUACCGAGGACAUGACCUUAGAUAGGAGGCUAUGGAGGACUCAAAUUAGGGUAGAAGGCUAGUAGAUAGUCCCAUGUAUCCCGUCGUACUAGUAGU